Oreochromis aureus is the source of this 2256-nucleotide long non-coding RNA. The record is from Ensembl. Lineage: Eukaryota; Metazoa; Chordata; Actinopteri; Cichliformes; Cichlidae.
ACAGGUGAAUCUGCAUUAACAUGUUAAAUUAUUUCUUUCUGCAUUGCUGCAUUGCAGUGAAGAAUCCCAUCAUCUAGGAUUCUUCAAUACAUACAUGCUGCUUGACUUUUUUUGAAUCAACGUGGGGGAUCUGGAUGCUGGUGCAGAAUUUCCUGCAUGUUUCUCAUACAGCACGCUGUUGUUCUCAUCUUCCUGGUCUUUGCUAUUGGUUGUGACCAACUGGGAUUCCGGGCUUGUGAGCUCUCAUCACCUCAUCAACACUCUGGACAGGUUGCUAAUCUGUUGCUGGCCUAAGAUGUGGCGAGAGAUAAUUUUGGAGUCAUUAGAGAAACUACAGUUUUUUGUCUAAACUUUCUGCUCCAGAGUUCACUGCUUUUUUUUUUUACAUAUGAAAUUAAUAGACAUAACUGCACUGUUUACCAAAUGUGUUGAAAUUAUGUAAUCAAGCGUGAACAUCAACGCCAGCUCCAUACUCCAGUUGAAGCAUCAGAUUUGCUGCUGAUAACUCCAGGGUUGGUAUUGUGGACAAGACUGUUCUAAACUGAACUAGAUUGAUUGUGACAUGAAAGCAACUGCAAUGCAAAUUAAGUAUGAGGAAACAAUUUAAAUUUUACCUUAGUCAUAAAAGCCAUUGAACCGUCAAUUUUGAAAACAUAAUGGAUGAAGAGUAAAAGUUGCGGAGUGGCAAGAUGAGCAGAGAUGUCAGCAGAUGAGCAAAAAAAUAAAGAUUUUCAAGUGUUCAUCAAAGUGUUAGUUUGCAAAGAAUGAGUAAAAUAUGUAAGUUAAUAAUGUCAAAUCAAAUCACUUUUAUUGUCACAUCACAUUACUGGUACACUGGUACAACACAUGUAAGUGAGAUUCUUCUGUGCAAGCUUCACAAGUAACAGUAGUGUGCAAAAAUACAAGAAAUGUAAGAAACAAGCCAAAUAUAAGAGCAGGAAUGUGAAAAUAAUGAGUGAUAUUGACCUGAGGAGUACCAACCAAAAUAACAAAGCAAUUUCACAGUUGUUGAAAAGUAUGUAUUCAAUUCAGCAUCUAUCCCAGCUAUCACAGUAUGGGAGGGCAGGUCGCCAAUCUGUCACAGGAGCAGAUUACUUUAGACAAUUUUAAAAAAUGUCAAAACAGUCUAUCUCAUUGGAAGCAAAACAUAAAGAAAUGAAGGGUGAUUUAAUACUUUUUGCACAACUGUUUUUGCACAAAAUUUCUGUUAACCCCUGAUCAACUUAUUGAAUCUUUUGAAUUUUGGGUCAUGACAUAUGUUCAACAUCCUCCUGCAAAUAUUUCUUCUGUGGCCCCAUUAGCAAUUGAUUCUCAGUUAAAAUAAGCUUAGUUUAGCUGUAAUGCACAAAUUAUUUAGUUAACUGUGUGAAGAAAGAUUGGUUAAUAAAAAGCAGCAGAAAAUUUAUAUAUUUAUCGCACAGAAGACAGUGAAAUGACAAACCGCUGGAGAAUCACGAACUACAGCUCAGAGGGCAGAGGUAUCAUGUCGGAGCUCUGCCAGUUUCUAAAGAUGUUUGUACCGGGUGGGACGAGAAAGGCUACAGAGGAAGAGAGCAGCAGCAGGAGCCCCACUCUACCAAAGAAACACUUCACACUGCAAAGCCUUUUUUUGGAGAACUUAUUUUCUCAAGACUUUAAUAGUUUUAAGACUUUGGCACUGCUUCUGUGAACUGCGUUGGACAUUUGUCAUGGCUGUGGACUGGAUGUUGAACCAGGCACAUCUAUUGUAGAGCUAACUGUAAAUUGGUGCAAAAUGAACUAAGGAUCCAUAAAAACAGUGCCAAGUGUAAAUUAUCCUCUGCUGCAUGUUAGCCAUCAACAAGAAUGAACAAAGUGUGUGCCAGUUUAUGGGCGUCAUCAGGCCAGAAGGUCUUAUCCACGCUGAAGCCAGCCACGCCUGUCUUCCAUCUAGAUUCCAGAUGCUGCUGAUCACUUUCGCAAAGUGGCUACUACUUAACUGUUUGACUGAGCUUGAGUCAAUGCUGGAUUGUUCAGUUACUGAAAACUUGGAGAGGAGUGUGUCAUGGGAUUGGAGCAUUUGUAAAUAUCAAGUGUUGGAGCUUUUUGCCUGUCACACCACGGACCACGAGCACGGAGCAGGAGUUGGGAGCACGUUCACGGAAACCACUUCUUUGAAAGCUGUUUCACGAUUGUUUACAUGUCUCACUGUAAAUAAAACGCACUGUCUUUGAUUGGAAAGUCCUGCAUUUGGGUCCCGUUCUUGCCACGCACCUUGACAUAAAUAAUAAACACAUA